GGGUAGCAAUACCUGGUGACGAGUGGCGCACGGGUGCGUAACGCGUAUGUAAUCUACCUCUAACUGGGGAAUAGCCUUCCGAAAGGAAGGUUAAUACCGCAUAAUAUAAAGGAGAGACAUCUCCCCUUUAUCAAAACUCAGGUGGUUAGAGAUGAACAUGCGUGACAUUAGCUAGUUGGUAAGGUAACGGCUUACCAAGGCUACGAUGUCUAGGGGGUCUGAGAGGAUGAUCCCCCACACUGGUACUGAGACACGGACCAGACUCCUACGGGAGGCAGCAGUAAGGAAUAUUGGACAAUGGGGGCAACCCUGAUCCAGCCAUGCCGCGUGAAGGAUUAAGGCCCUAUGGGUCGUAAACUUCUUUUAUAAGGGAAAAAACCCCUUUACGUGUAGAGGGUUGAUGGUACUUUAUGAAUAAGGGUCGGCUAACUUCGUGCCAGCAGCCGCGGUAAUACGAAGGACCCGAGCGUUAUCCGGAUUUACUGGGUUUAAAGGGUGCGUAGGUGGACCUGUAAGUCAGUGGUGAAAGCCCGAAGCUCAACUUCGGAACUGCCAUUGAUACUGCAAGUCUUGAGUACAGUUGAGGUAGGCGGAAUAUGUCAUGUAGUGGUGAAAUACUUAGAUAUGACAUAGAACACCGAUUGCGAAGGCAGCUUGCUAAGCUGUAACUGACACUGAUGCACGAAAGCGUGGGGAGCAAACAGGAUUAGAUACCCUGGUAGUCCACGC
Molecule: ribosomal RNA, 729 nt
Filed under: uncultured bacterium
Lineage: Bacteria
Description: bacterial SSU rRNA
Rfam family: Bacterial small subunit ribosomal RNA
Source: RNAcentral